This 497-nucleotide ribosomal RNA is filed under the name uncultured bacterium. Its description in RNAcentral is "partial 16S ribosomal RNA". It matches the Rfam family "Bacterial small subunit ribosomal RNA", at positions 28 to 507 of the family's 1533-position model. The record is from RNAcentral.
GAUGAACGCUGGCGGCGUGCCUAAUACAUGCAAGUCGAGCGAACGGACGAGAAGCUUGCUUCUUUGAUGUUAGCGGAGGACGGGUGAGUAACACGUGGAUAACCUACUUAUAAGACUGGGAUAACCUCGGAAAACCGGAGCUAAUACCGGAUAAUCUUUUGAACCGCAUGGUUCAAUGGUGAAAGACGGUCUUGCUGUCACUUAUAGAUGCAUCCGGGCUGUAUUAGCUAGUUGGUCAGGUCACGGCCUACCAAGGCAACGAUGCAUAGCCGAACUGAGAGGGUGAUAGCCGACACUGGAGCGUGGACGGGGACAAGACUCCUGCGAGAGGGCGCAGUAGGCAAUCUGCCGCAAUAGUCGAAAGCCUGACGGAGCAAGGGCGCGCGAGAUAUGAAGGUCUCCGGAGCGUAAAACUCUGUUAUGAGGUAAGAACAUAUGUGGAAGUAGCUGUGCAGAUAGUGACGGUACCUAAUCAGAAAGCCACGGCUAACUACGUG